Myotis lucifugus (little brown bat) is the source of this 107-nucleotide small nuclear RNA. NCBI's taxonomy places the organism in Eukaryota, Metazoa, Chordata, Mammalia, Chiroptera, Vespertilionidae. The record is from Ensembl.
GUGCUCUCUUCGGGAGCACAUACACUAAAAUUGGAAUGAUACAGAGAAGAUUAGCAUGGCCCGUGCGCAAGGAUGACACGCAAAUUCGUGAAGCAUUCCAUAUUUUU